CUCUGACUCUUUAGAUUUCAGAUAAUUCAGCAACGCAUGCAAAAGUCCAACACCCAACUCCUCUAACUUUAUCCAAGUACCACAACAUAGUUCAUAAUCUACCAAGCCUAUUCAUGUAUAAAAUCAAAAUAUAUGCAUUUCCGAUGACAGCAAUAGUAUUGAAGUUCAUGGAAAGUGGACAUAUUGCAGACAUGCGUUCGUG
Molecule: long non-coding RNA, 202 nt
Filed under: Elaeis guineensis (African oil palm)
Lineage: Eukaryota; Viridiplantae; Streptophyta; Magnoliopsida; Arecales; Arecaceae
Description: long non-coding RNA (EGUI_LNC018805)
Source: RNAcentral